AGCGGGGUGAUCUACCCAUGGCCAGUGUGAAGCAGCAGUAAGAUGCUGUGGAGGCGCGAACCCACGUAGGUUGAAAACUGCGGGGAUGAGCUGUGGGUAGGGGUGAAAGGCCAAUCAAACUCCGUGAUAGCUGGUUCUCCCCGAAAUGCAUUUAGGUGCAGCGUCGCAUUAGCUUGGUGGAGGUAGAGCUACUGGUUGGUUGAGCGGGACUACAAUCUUAGCAAUGUCAGCCAAACUCCGAAUGCCAUUAAUGUGUUGUGCGGCAGUGAGACUGUGGGGGAUAAGCUUCAUAGUCGAGAGGGAAACAGCCCAGAUCGCCGGUUAAGGCCCCUAAGGGUGUGCUAAGUGGAAAAGGAUGUGGGAUCGCGAAGACAGCCAGGAGGUUGGCUUAGAAGCAGCCAUCCUUGAAAGAGUGCGUAAUAGCUCACUGGUCGAGUGGUUCUGCGCCGACAAUGUAGUGGGGCUCAAGCACACCGCCGAAGCCGCGGCAAUAAUAUUUUGUUAUUGGGUAGGGGAGCGUCGUGCACGUGUUGAAGCGUUACCGUGAGGAGGCGUGGAGUGUGUGCGAGUGAGAAUGCAGGCAUGAGUAACGAAUUGGAAGGUGAGAAUCCUUCCCGCCGGAUGACUAAGGGUUCCUGGGUCAAGUUCGUCUUCCCAGGGUGAGUCGGGACCUAAGGCGAGGCCGACAGGCGUAGUCGAUGGAUAACCAGUUGAUAUUCUGGUACCCGAGUAUAUGCGCCCCUGAUAAAGCACUGAUACUAACCACCGUAAGCUGUUGUGAUUGGCCUUCGGGUUAACAUGGUGGCAAGCCGUGGGGCCUGAUGUGUGGUUCAAGCGAUGGGGUGACACAGUGGGGUAGCCAUGCCGCUUAGUGGAUUGUUGGUGUAAGCGUGUAGGUGAUGGUGUAGGUAAAUCCGCACUUGUUAGCUGAGACGUGAUGCGUAGCCUUAAUUGGUGAAGUUGGUGAUCCCGUGCUGUCGAGAAAAGCCUCUAGCGAUGUAUAUACUCGGCCCGUACCCCAAACCGACACAGGUAGUCAGGUUGAAAAUACUAAGGCGUUCGGGUGAACUGUGGUUAAGGAACUCGGCAAAAUGCCCCCGUAACUUCGGGAGAAGGGGGACCCUAUGGCGUGAACACCCAUUUGCGGUGGGAAGCGUUGUGGGGUCGCAGAGAAUAGAGGGAAGCGACUGUUUAUCAAAAACACAGGUCCAUGCGAAGACGUUAAGUUGAUGUAUAUGGACUGACGCCUGCCCGGUGCUGGAAGGUUAAGAGGACCGGUUAAUCAAGCUUUGCUUGGUGAAGCUGAGAAUUUAAGCCCCAGUAAACGGCGGUGGUAACUAUAACCAUCCUAAGGUAGCGAAAUUCCUUGUCGGGUAAGUUCCGACCUGCACGAAUGGCGUAACGACUUCCCUGCUGUCUCAACCACAGGCCCGGUGAAAUUGCACUACGAGUAAAGAUGCUCGUUACGCGCGGCAGGACGAAAAGACCCCGGGACCUUCACUAUAGCUUGGUAUUGGUGUUCGGUUCGGUUUGUGUAGGAUAGGUGGGAGACUAUGAAACAUGCACGCCAGUGUGUGUGGAGUCGUUGUUGAAAUACCACUCUGAUCGGAUUGGAUACCUUAACCUUGGCCCAUGAUCUGGGUUGGGGACAGUGCCUGGUGGGUAGUUUAACUGGGGCGGUUGCCUCCCAAAAUGUAACGGAGGCGCCCAAAGGUUCCCUCAGCCUGGUUGGCAAUCAGGUGGUGAGUGUAAGUGCACAAGGGAGCUUGACUGUGAGAGUGACAGCUCGAACAGGGACGAAAGUCGGGACUAGUGAUCCGGCACCUACUUGUGGAUGUGGUGUCGCUCAACGGAUAAAAGGUACCCCGGGGAUAACAGGCUGAUCUUCCCCAAGAGUCCAUAUCGACGGGAUGGUUUGGCACCUCGAUGUCGGCUCGUCGCAUCCUGGGGCUGGAGUAGGUCCCAAGGGUUGGGCUGUUCGCCCAUUAAAGCGGCACGCGAGCUGGGUUCAGAACGUCGUGAGACAGUUCGGUCUCUAUCCGCCG
RNAcentral lists this ribosomal RNA (2045 nucleotides) under Corynebacterium striatum. RNAcentral describes it as "partial 23S ribosomal RNA". It matches the Rfam family "Bacterial large subunit ribosomal RNA", at positions 719 to 2647 of the family's 2925-position model. Lineage: Bacteria; Bacillati; Actinomycetota; Actinomycetes; Mycobacteriales; Corynebacteriaceae. The record is from RNAcentral.